RNAcentral lists this ribosomal RNA (515 nucleotides) under uncultured bacterium. Its description in RNAcentral is "partial 16S ribosomal RNA". It matches the Rfam family "Bacterial small subunit ribosomal RNA", at positions 28 to 523 of the family's 1533-position model. The record is from RNAcentral.
GAUGAACGCUGGCGGCGUGCCUAAUACAUGCAAGUCGAGCGAAUGGAUUAAGAGCUUGCUCUUAUGAAGUUAGCGGCGGACGGGUGAGUAACACGUGGGUAACCUGCCCAUAAGACUGGGAUAACUCCGGGAAACCGGGGCUAAUACCGGAUAGCAUUUUGAACCACAUGGCUCGAAAUUGAAGGGCGGCUUCGGCUGUCACUUAUGGAUGGACCCGCGUCGCAUUAGCUAGUUGGUGAGGUAACGGCUCACCAAGGCAACGAUGCGUAGUCGACCUGAGAGGGUGAUCGGCCACACUGGGACUGAGACACGGCCCAGACUCCUACGGGAGGCAGCAGUAGGGAAUCUUCCGCAAUGGACGAAAGUCUGACGGAGCAACGCCGCGUGAGUGAUGAAGGCUUUCGGGUCGUAAAACUCUGUUGUUAGGGAAGAACAAGUGCUAGUUGAAUAAGCUGGCACCUUGACGGUACCUAACCAGAAAGCCACGGCUAACUACGUGCCAGCAGCCGCAGUAA